Molecule: ribosomal RNA, 484 nt
Filed under: uncultured bacterium
Lineage: Bacteria
Description: partial 16S ribosomal RNA
Rfam family: Bacterial small subunit ribosomal RNA
Source: RNAcentral
AUUGAACGCUGGCGGCAGGCCUAACACAUGCAAGUCGAGCGGAUGAAGGGAGCUUGCUCCUGGAUUCAGCGGCGGACGGGUGAGUAAUGCCUAGGAAUCUGCCUGGUAGUGGGGGAUAACGUCCGGAAACGGGCGCUAAUACCGCAUACGUCCUGCGGGAGAAAGUGGGGGAUCUUCGGACCUCACGCUAUCAGAUGAGCCUAGGUCGGAUUAGCUAGUUGGUGGGGUAAAGGCCUACCAAGGCGACGAUCCGUAACUGGUCUGAGAGGAUGAUCAGUCACACUGGAACUGAGACACGGUCCAGACUCCUACGGGAGGCAGCAGUGGGGAAUAUUGGACAAAGGGCGAAAGCCUGAUCCAGCCAUGCCGCGUGUGUGAAGAAGGUCUUCGGAUUGUAAAGCACUUUAAGUUGGGAGGAAGGGCAGUAAGUUAAUACCUUGCUGUAUUGACGUUACCAACAGAAUAAGCACCGGCUAACUUCGUG